UUUCCAUAGGUGAACCUGCGGAAGGAUCAUUCAUGAUAAGGUGUUUUAUUGCACUUUUUAAACAUUCAUAUCCGCCUUUUGUGCAAUGUUAGAUCUCGUCAAUCUUGGCGAGAUUUUUAUACAUCAACUCAUUAUUUAACUAAUUUGUCUGAAAACUAUUAUGAAAACUUAAUUCAAAAUACAACUUUCAACAACGGAUCUCUUGGCUCUC
This 211-nucleotide unclassified non-coding RNA is filed under the name plant metagenome. RNAcentral describes it as "partial contains small subunit ribosomal RNA, internal transcribed spacer 1, and 5.8S ribosomal RNA". The record is from RNAcentral.